This 484-nucleotide ribosomal RNA is filed under the name uncultured bacterium. Its description in RNAcentral is "partial 16S ribosomal RNA". It matches the Rfam family "Bacterial small subunit ribosomal RNA", at positions 28 to 523 of the family's 1533-position model. The record is from RNAcentral.
GACGAACGCUGGCGGCGUGCUUAACACAUGCAAGUCGAACGAUGAACCCGGAGCUUGCUCCGGUGGAUUAGUGGCGAACGGGUGAGUAACACGUGAGUAACCUGCCCUUGACUCUGGGAUAACUGCGGGAAACUGUAGCUAAUACCGGAUACGACCCUCGGCGGCAUCGCCAGGGGGUGGAAAGAAUUUCGGUCAAGGAUGGACUCGCGGCCUAGCAGCUAGUUGGUGAGGUAACGGCUCACCAAGGCGACGACGGGUAGCCGGCCUGAGAGGGUGACCGGCCGCACUGGGACUGAGACACGGCCCAGACUCCUACGGGAGGCAGCAGGGGAGAAUAUUGCACAAUGGGCGCAAGCCUGAUGCAGCAAGGCCGCGUGAGGGAUGACGGCCUUCGGGUUGUAAACCUCUUUCAGUAGGGACGAAGCGCAAGUGACGGUACCUACAGAAGAAGGACCGGCCAACUACGUGCCAGCAGCCGCCGUAA